GAUGAACGCUGGCGGCAUGCCUAAGACAUGCAAGUCGAACGAGAUGGCCCAGUGAAGGUUGCGUGCUUGCACAAGACUGAAUCUGGAUCACCAUCUAGUGGCAGACGGGUGAGUAACACGUGGGUGACCUACCUUUUCGUUGGGGAUAACAGUUGGAAACGAUUGCUAAUACCGAAUAAAAUAUAAGAGCCAAUUUUAUAUUGAAAGGAGCCUUUAAAGCUUCGCGAUUAGAUGGGCCUGCGGCGUAUUAACUUGUUGGUGAGGUAACGGCUCACCAAGGUAACGAUGCGUAGCCGAACUGAGAGGUUGAUCGGCCACACUGGGACUGAGACACGGCCCAGACUCCUACGGGAGACAGCAGUUAGGAAUAUUCGUCAAUGGGGGAAACCCUGAACGAGCAAUGCCGCGUGAGUGAUGACGGUCCUUUGGAUUGUAAAACUCUGUUGUAUGGAAAAAAAUGACUAGGUUAGGAAAUGAACCUAGUGUGAUGGUAC
RNAcentral lists this ribosomal RNA (494 nucleotides) under uncultured bacterium. Its description in RNAcentral is "bacterial SSU rRNA". It matches the Rfam family "Bacterial small subunit ribosomal RNA", at positions 28 to 478 of the family's 1533-position model. The record is from RNAcentral.